AGUGAACGCUGGCGGUAGGCCUAACACAUGCAAGUCGAACGGCAGCACAGUAAGAGCUUGCUCUUACGGGUGGCGAGUGGCGGACGGGUGAGGAAUACAUCGGAAGCUACUUUUUCGUGGGGGAUAACGUAGGGAAACUUACGCUAAUACCGCAUACGACCUACGGGUGAAAGCAGGGGAUCUUCGGACCUUGCGCGAUUGAAUGAGCCGAUGUCGGAUUAGCUAGUUGGCGGGGUAAAGGCCCACCAAGGCGACGAUCCGUAGCUGGUCUGAGAGGAUGAUCAGCCACACUGGAACUGAGACACGGUCCAGACUCCUACGGGAGGCAGCAGUGGGGAAUAUUGGACAAUGGGCGCAAGCCUGAUCCAGCCAUACCGCGUGGGUGAAGAAGGCCUUCGGGUUGUAAAGCCCUUUUGUUGGGGAGGAAAAGCAGCAGGUUAAUACCCCGCUGUUCUGACGGUACCCAAAGAAUAAGCACCGGCUAACUUCGUG
RNAcentral lists this ribosomal RNA (492 nucleotides) under uncultured bacterium. Its description in RNAcentral is "partial 16S ribosomal RNA". It matches the Rfam family "Bacterial small subunit ribosomal RNA", at positions 29 to 507 of the family's 1533-position model. The record is from RNAcentral.